This 244-nucleotide ribosomal RNA is filed under the name Staphylococcus epidermidis NIHLM095. RNAcentral's name for it is "partial 23S ribosomal RNA". It matches the Rfam family "Bacterial large subunit ribosomal RNA", at positions 2679 to 2925 of the family's 2925-position model. Lineage: Bacteria; Bacillati; Bacillota; Bacilli; Caryophanales; Staphylococcaceae. The record is from RNAcentral. RNAcentral also lists the same sequence under 1 other name.
UAGUACGAGAGGACCGGGAUGGACAUACCUCUGGUGUACCAGUUGUCGUGCCAACGGCAUAGCUGGGUAGCUAUGUAUGGACGGGAUAAGUGCUGAAAGCAUCUAAGCAUGAAGCCCCCCUCAAGAUGAGAUUUCCCAACUUCGGUUAUAAGAUCCCUCGAAGAUGACGAGGUUAAUAGGUUCGAGGUGGAAGCGUGGUGACACGUGGAGCUGACGAAUACUAAUCGAUCGAAGACUUAAUCAA